AACGCGAAGAACCUUACCUGGGCUCGAAAUGCUAUGGACAGUCUGUGAAAGCAGAUCUUCUCGCAAGAGACCGUAGUAUAGGUGCUGCAUGGCUGUCGUCAGCUCGUGUCGUGAGAUGUUGGGUUAAGUCCCGCAACGAGCGCAACCCUUGUCCUGUGUUGCCACUCCCGUAAGGGAAGCACUCUCAGGAGACCGCCAGCGAUAAGUUGGAGGAAGGUGGGGAUGAUGUCAAGUCAUCAUGGCCUUUAUGUCCAGGGCUACACACGUGCUACAAUGGACGGUACAAAGCGCUGCAAACCCGCGAGGUCGAGCGAAUCCCAUAAAGCCGGUCUCAGUUCGGAUUGCAGGCUGCAACUCGCCUGCAUGAAGUCGGAAUCGCUAGUAACCGCAGAUCAGCUACGCUGCGGUGAAUACGUUCCCGGGCCUUGUACACACCGAGUAUA
RNAcentral lists this ribosomal RNA (443 nucleotides) under uncultured bacterium. RNAcentral's name for it is "bacterial SSU rRNA". It matches the Rfam family "Bacterial small subunit ribosomal RNA", at positions 958 to 1398 of the family's 1533-position model. The record is from RNAcentral.